CCUACGGGAGGCAGCAGUGAGGAAUAUUGGUCAAUGGCCGUAAGGCUGAACCAGCCAAGUAGCGUGAGGGAAGACUGCUCUAUGGGUUGUAAACCUCUUUUAUGCGGGGAUAAAGGUGUCCACGUGUGGAUGUUUGCAGGUACUGUAUGAAUAAGGAUCGGCUAACUCCGUGCCAGCAGCCGCGGUAAUACGGAGGGUCCGGGCGUUAUCCGGAUUUAUUGGGUUUAAAGGGAGCAUAGAUCGGUUGUUAAGUGUGCCGUGAAAGUUUGUGGCUCAACCGUGAGAGUGCAACGCAUACUGGAGGCCUUGAGUGCACGGGAGGCAGGCGGAAUUCGUGGUGUAGCGGUGAAAUGCUUAGAUAUCACGAAGAACCCCGAUUGCGAAGGCAGCCUACCGAAGCGUGACUGACGCUGAAGCUCGAAAGCGCGGGUAUCGAACAGGAUUAGAUACCCCUGUAGUC
This 460-nucleotide ribosomal RNA is filed under the name uncultured bacterium. RNAcentral's name for it is "partial 16S ribosomal RNA". It matches the Rfam family "Bacterial small subunit ribosomal RNA", at positions 338 to 795 of the family's 1533-position model. The record is from RNAcentral.